AACGAACGCUGGCGGCAUGCCUAAUACAUGCAAGUCGAGCGAACAGAUGAAGUGCUUGCACUUCUGACGUUAGCGGCGAACGGGUGAGUAACACGUAAGGAAUCUACCUAUAAGCGGGGGAUAACAUUCGGAAACGGGUGCUAAUACCGCAUAAUAUCUUCUUCCGCAUGGAAGAAGAUUGAAAGACGGCUCUGCUGUCACUUAUAGAUGACCUUGCGGUGCAUUAGUUAGUUGGUGGGGUAAUAGCCUACCAAGACGAUGAUGCAUAGCCGACCUGGGAGGGUGAAGGGCAACAUUGGGACUGAGACACGGCCCAAACUCCUACGGGAGGCAGCAGUAGGGAAUCUUCCGCAAUGGGCGAAAGCCUGACGGAGCAGUGCCGCGUGAGUGAAGAAGGCCUUCGGGUCGUAAAACUCUGUUAUAAGAGAAGAACAAAUUGUAGAGUAACUGCUACAGUCUUGACGGUAUCUUAUCAGAAAGCCACGGCUAACUACGUGCCAGCCGCCGCCGUAA
RNAcentral lists this ribosomal RNA (513 nucleotides) under uncultured bacterium. RNAcentral describes it as "partial 16S ribosomal RNA". It matches the Rfam family "Bacterial small subunit ribosomal RNA", at positions 29 to 523 of the family's 1533-position model. The record is from RNAcentral.